GACGAACGCUGGCGGCGUGCCUAAUACAUGCAAGUAGAACGCUGAAGAGAGGAGCUUGCUCUUCUUGGAUGAGUUGCGAACGGGUGAGUAACGCGUAGGUAACCUGCCUUGUAGCGGGGGAUAACUAUUGGAAACGAUAGCUAAUACCGCAUAACAAUGGAUGACACAUGUCAUUUAUUUGAAAGGGGCAAUUGCUCCACUACAAGAUGGACCUGCGUUGUAUUAGCUAGUAGGUGAGGUAAUGGCUCACCUAGGCGACGAUACAUAGCCGACCUGAGAGGGUGAUCGGCCACACUGGGACUGAGACACGGCCCAGACGCCUACGGGAGGCAGCAGUAGGGAAUCUUCGGCAAUGGGGGCAACCAUGACCGAGCAACGCCGCGUGAGUGAAGAAGGUUUUCGGAUCGUAAAGCUCUGUUGUAAGUCAAGAACGGGUGUGAGAGUGGAAAGUUCACACUGUGACGGUAGCUUACCAGAAAGGGACGGCUAACUACGUG
RNAcentral lists this ribosomal RNA (497 nucleotides) under uncultured bacterium. Its description in RNAcentral is "partial 16S ribosomal RNA". It matches the Rfam family "Bacterial small subunit ribosomal RNA", at positions 28 to 507 of the family's 1533-position model. The record is from RNAcentral.